Chrysemys picta bellii (western painted turtle) is the source of this 379-nucleotide non-coding RNA. The record is from RefSeq and is a predicted model, not a curated record. Lineage: Eukaryota; Metazoa; Chordata; Testudines; Emydidae.
CUCACAAGUUCGAGGGUUGGCUCAGAAGUACUGGCAUAGGAAAUCCCUGGAGCCUGUGAAAUUUUAAGACAGCAGCCAACUUGGGGCCAGCAAAGACUGCCAAACUUACUAGGAGUUAAAGGAAGAAGAAAGCAGCAUUUAAUGCUAACAAAUGAAUUCUCAGGGGAUCAGAUAUUAAAUACAACCUCAAAUAUCCUGUGAUCUUCAUAAUGAAACUGACAGACUCUGUGAAAUACUUCAAUACCCCAUCAGAUGCUUGGCAAGCACUACAGGAAUUGAGACCAAAUCUCACUAAGGGUAAGCCAUCAUCCUCUCAUAAAGGAAAAGAAAAUGAAGAAUAUAAGCCCUGAAGAAAAGGACUCAUGAUUGGGAAAACCAG